GUAGGUGGCAAGCGUUGUCCGGAAUUAUUGGGCGUAAAGCGCGCGCAGGUGGUUCUUUAAGUCUGAUGUGAAAGCCCCCGGCUCAACCGGGGAGGGUCAUUGGAAACUGGGGAACUUGAGUGCAGGAGAGGAAAGUGGAAUUCCACGUGUAGCGGUGAAAUGCGUAGAUAUGUGGAGGAACACCAGUGGCGAAGGCGACUUUCUGGCCUGUAACUGACACUGAGGCGCGAAAGCGUGGGGAGCAAACAGGGAUUAGAUACCCUGGUAGUCCACGCCGUAAACCGAUGAGUGCUAAGUGUUGGGGGGGUUUUCCGCCCCCUCAGUGCUGCAGCUAACGCAUUAAGCACUCCGCCUGGGAGUACGGUCGCAAGACUG
This 375-nucleotide ribosomal RNA is filed under the name uncultured organism. Its description in RNAcentral is "partial 16S ribosomal RNA". It matches the Rfam family "Bacterial small subunit ribosomal RNA", at positions 527 to 896 of the family's 1533-position model. The record is from RNAcentral.